GUGCUCGCUUCGGCAGCAUAGAUACUAAAAUUGGAACGAGACAGAGAAGAUUAGCAUGGCCCCUGCACAAGGAUGACACGCAAAUUCGUGACGCGUUCCAUAUUUAA
This is a small nuclear RNA of Myotis lucifugus (little brown bat), 107 nucleotides long. The record is from Ensembl. NCBI's taxonomy places the organism in Eukaryota, Metazoa, Chordata, Mammalia, Chiroptera, Vespertilionidae.